This 69-nucleotide transfer RNA is filed under the name Lactobacillus sp. Its description in RNAcentral is "tRNA-OTHER". It matches the Rfam family "tRNA". From Rfam's summary of the family: Transfer RNA (tRNA) molecules are approximately 80 nucleotides in length. The record is from RNAcentral. Lineage: Bacteria; Bacillati; Bacillota; Bacilli; Lactobacillales; Lactobacillaceae.
GUGGAAGUAGCUCAAAAGGUAGUAGCACCUAGGUCCCAGGUUAUGCCGGUUCGAGUCCGGCCUUUCGCA